AAUUGUAUUCAUGGUGGCAUUAAUCAGAGUAGGAAGUGCUUUGCUUCCAACAUACACAUCUCCCUCUAAUUGAUAAACUUCAUGUGGAGGACGGAGUAAACUUCAUGUGGAGCGUCGACGCCGAGGUGUUUGAUAAACUUCAUGUGGAGGACGGAGUAAACAACAAAAUUGCCAAUGAAAUAAGUAAUUUGAAGUGAGAUGGAAGCAGGGAUGCGACGACGGCGGCGGCGGUGAAGCGGGAGCUGGUAGUGGUGGUGAUGGAGUGUAAAAAGCAAUGAGGACCACCGUUGAUGAGCUCCUAGUCGUCUUCUUCUCCCCAACCCGCCGUGGACUGAUGAGAUAUUCUGUAAGUCGCCAUUAAUCUUUAAGCUUAAGGCACUCAAGAGAACGAGUAAAAUGGUGGAGUUAGGGUUUGAGGAUUUUGAAAAGGGGAAGGGAACAAAUGAC
RNAcentral lists this long non-coding RNA (447 nucleotides) under Panax ginseng (ginseng). RNAcentral's name for it is "long non-coding RNA (PGIN_LNC004910)". The record is from RNAcentral. Lineage: Eukaryota; Viridiplantae; Streptophyta; Magnoliopsida; Apiales; Araliaceae.